CUGGCCCUUUAAGACGCGCACUGUCGCCAUGGUUACAAGCAGGAAGUAACAGAGCGUCUUUAGCAUGUCAACAUCCGCGACUCCCAGCAUCGCAUCCUCUCUGUUCCUCUUUCUUUCUUCAGCUGUCAUCCCCUCCGGCUCCUCUCUGACAGAUAACUAAGAUGAGCGGGAACACUGAGGACAUCAAACCUGUGAACUGCACCAUCAAACCUCCGGUCUACCUGCAGAUCGGAGACACCAAAACCGACCCGGCUCACUCUGGAGUUUGUGUUGUGGACGUCACGCUCCCGUUUGGAAAGCCUGUUAAUAUCGAGGAGAUCACCUUUAAGAACUACUACACAGCAUAUGUGACUGUACGCUUGUUGAGGAGGAGCCCCGGACAGGAGACUCCUGCUAAGUGGAGCACAGCUCUGAGAGACCUGCCUCUGAUGGACAACCCCCACACAGAGAGAGGCUCCCAGGACUACUUCUCCAUCCACAGGACACAGAUGCAGGUGGAGCCGGACCACGUGGCGUCUGUGAGGCUGAUCCUGAGACAGCCGUCCUCCGCCUGGCUCACCUUCAGCCUCGAGGACGUCAAAAUAUACCCUCACAUGGAGCCGGACCCAGAGAAGGAGGUUUCUGAUUGGCUGUCCGACCUGACGCUGGUGGACCAGCACCCGGACCUGGAGGGCCUCCCAGACCCUCAGACUGUGUCGUCCAGUAUCCAGCAGAUGUGGGCUCUGACUGAGGUGAUGCAGACCAACCAGACUACAGCCUCCAUCGGAAGAUUUGACGUGCUGAGACUGUGAACGUCCUGCAGUGGUGACGGGAGUCCAAAAACAAGCCCGAGAUGAAGCGUCGUUACACGGAGAGAGGAAACGCUGCACGUACCUCUGAGGAGCAGGAUGUGGGUGAUGACGUCGUGAGGUGAGGAGAAAGAGAAAGAGCCACAGUAACGUCACCAGAGCCUUUCUGAAGAGUUGAGAGAUUUUCAACUCGAAGCGAUCAGAGCGGCCGUUCAAAGAAGACGGAUCGCUGGGCACAAAUGUGACACGCCAGAAUGAAACUGGAUCAGAAAGGCGAACUCAUCUCCUGGAGUGAAAGGAGUCAAUCAUCUAUUUUUAGCAGGUGGACGGAUGUUACGACAUCAACCUGCUGUCUCUGACGUAACGUGGCUGACGGUGGACGGAGCUCAGUCCGCGGAGGCCUCGAGGAGCAGAGGACGUGAUGACGAAGAUACAAAAUACGAGAACAGCUGCAGAGAAGAAGACAGACACAGUAGUUUGUGUGCAGCUAAUGAGAAAACUAUCAUGACUUAAUUUAUUUACAUGCCUUUUUAUUUAAACGCUGACUUCUUCAAAGGGCUGCUGAGGUCAAGUUUAAGAUGUUUCACUUGUUGUGAUGAUAAUGUUCAGAGCCAAGAAAUGCAUAAUGUCUGUCGGGACCCCACAAGUGUUGGAGAGCAGAUGUGUGUUUGUGUGAAUUAGAGUGAGACCUGACAGGAGGAGGCGGACGAGCACUGUGAGGACGUUAAUCCUUCAUGUUGUUAUCUGCAGAUCUUCUUGUCACUCGUCAAUAAAAACUAAUAUCCUUGUC
RNA transcript from Acanthopagrus latus (yellowfin seabream), 1578 nucleotides. It is a transcript of the gene named nicolin 1, with no coding region annotated. Lineage: Eukaryota; Metazoa; Chordata; Actinopteri; Spariformes; Sparidae. The transcript is spliced from 9 exons. The record is from RefSeq and is a predicted model, not a curated record.